CCUGCCCACUGAUUAAUUGAAUGGCCGCAGUAAUUUGACUGUGCAAAGGUAGCAUAAUCAUUAGUUUUUUAAUUAAAAGCUUGUAUGAAGGGUUGGACGAGGUAAGAUCUGUCUCUAUUUAAUUUAUUUUAGAAUUUAAUUUUUAAGUUAAAAAGCUUAAAUUUUAAUAAAAGACGAGAAGACCCUAUAGAUCUUUAUAUUUAUAUUAUUAAUUUUAUUUAGGAUUGUUUUAUUUUUUAUUAAUUAAAAUAUUUUAUUGGGGUAAUAGAGAGAUUUAGCAAAUUCUUUUUUAUUAAUAUAUAUAGGUUAAUAUAUGUUUGAUCCAAUUAUUUUGAUUGUAAGAUUAAGUUACCUUAGGGAUAACAGCGUAAUUUUUUUAGAGAGUUCAUAUCGAUAAGAAAGUUUGCGACCUCGAUGUUGGAUUAAAAAUUAUUU
RNAcentral lists this ribosomal RNA (435 nucleotides) under Copelatus sp. MB 202. Its description in RNAcentral is "partial 16S ribosomal RNA". The record is from RNAcentral. Lineage: Eukaryota; Metazoa; Arthropoda; Insecta; Coleoptera; Dytiscidae.